This 752-nucleotide long non-coding RNA is filed under the name Rattus norvegicus (Norway rat). RNAcentral describes it as "long non-coding RNA NONRATT007491". Lineage: Eukaryota; Metazoa; Chordata; Mammalia; Rodentia; Muridae. The record is from RNAcentral.
AGGCAAGAAGACAUGAAUCCAAAGAUAAGUCCUCUAAGAGACACAAGUCUGAGGAGCACAAUGACAAAGAACAUUCUUCUGACAAAGGAAGAGAGCGAUUAAAUUCAUCUGAGAAUGGUGAGGACAGACAUAAACGCAAAGAAAGGAAGUCGUCACGGGGCAGAAGUCACUCGAGGUCUAGAUCUCGUGAGAGGCGCCAUCGCAGUAGAAGCAGGGAAAGGAAGAAGUCUCGGUCAAGGAGUAGGGAUCGGAAAAAAUCUCGAUCCAGAAGCAGAGACAGGAAGAAGUCAAGAUCCAGAAGCAGGGAUAGAAAACGGAGGAUCAGAACACGUUCCCGGUCAAGAUCCAGACACAGGCAUAGGACUAGAAGCAGGAGCAGAUCACGGAGUCGAAGUCGAGAUAGAAAGAAGAGAAUCGAAAAACCAAGAAGAUUUAGCAGAAGCCUAAGCCGGACACCUAGUCCGCCUCCCUUCAGAGGCAGAAACACAGCAAUGGAUGCCCAAGAAGCACUAGCUAGGAGAUUAGAAAGGGCAAAGAAAUUACAAGAACAACGAGAAAAGGAAAUGGUUGAAAAACAAAAACAACAAGAAAUGGCUGCAGCUGCAGCCACUGGAGGUUCUGUUCUUAAUGUUGCUGCACUCUUGGCAUCGGGAACGCAAGUUACUCCUCAGAUAGCUAUGGCAGCUCAAAUGGCAGCCCUGCAAGCUAAGGCCUUGGCAGAGACUGGCAUAGCUGUGCCCAGCUACUAUAAC